RNAcentral lists this long non-coding RNA (224 nucleotides) under Manihot esculenta (cassava). RNAcentral's name for it is "long non-coding RNA (MESC_LNC003923)". Lineage: Eukaryota; Viridiplantae; Streptophyta; Magnoliopsida; Malpighiales; Euphorbiaceae. The record is from RNAcentral.
UAAACAGGACUUCUUUACUCUAUCCGGACUCCUGCUCUAUACUGCACCUGCAAGCCUGGGGGUAAAGGGAGAGGGGUGAGCUAAAAGCCCAGUGAGUAGGACUAUAAAACAUAUUAACACUAUGCUCUAUGAAAUGCAUCAUAACACAGACAAUUCACAUAAGGGUUGGGCGAACUUGUCACCAAUUAGUCCAAGCUAACUCUGUGCCAGGCCGUAGCAUGGGG